GUAAGAGCACCCGACUGCUCUUCCGAAGGUCCAGAGUUCAAAUCCCAGCAACCACAUGGUGGCUCACAAACCAUCCGUAGCGAGAUCUGACUCCCUCUUCUGGAGUGUCUGAAGACAGCUACAAUGUACUUCCAUAUAAUAAAUAAAUAAAUCUUAAAAAAAAAAAAAAAAAAAAAAAAAAACACAAGAGAAGUUUGCAGUGUCAUCCACCCUCUUAGUGGUGCUCUAUCUGAAAGCUUGUUACAUUUCAUUAUGAAUGGUUCUUUAAGUAUCAGGGUUUUUGUGCUUUUAUUUCAUGAUCUUAAAUUUGCAUGCAUUUUAAGAUACUAUUUUUGUUAACUGUUUUGAGACAAGAGUUCUGUAGCCCAGAAUGACCUUGACCUUGAAGCAUGGCAAUCCUCCUGCCUCAGCCUCCCAAGCUGGAAUUACAAGCAUGCACCGCCACACCUGAUAUAACUUGUUAAAAGUACUUCUGGUGUUGCCAGGCAUCUUAGAAACUCCUUGUUAAGGAGAAGGAAUUAACUUUUUAAUUUAUUAUUAGUGUGUAUGUGCGUGUGCACAGGCCAAGGCCAGAGGACAACGUUUGGAAUCUUUCCACUGUGGGUUCCAGGUCAUCAGUCUGGUGUGAUGACCUGCCGAUCGACUUACCAGCCCUCACAUUUAUUUUAACUGGGUUGUAAAAGAUGUGUAGGUAAUGCUCUGCCAUACCUCUGGAGCCUUCUUCUGCAAGGAAGCAGGGUGAUUAGGGAAAAGAGUAUUGUUUGAAACAAAAACCAAAGCUGAGGUAGGCUGGAGAAGCGUCUUGUUGGAAGAAGCUUCUACAAGCCCCACACUUAGGGCUUCUAGUCAGUUGGAAAGACAGAAUGUCUUCAAGCUUCAAGACAGCCCAAGAACGGGCUGGCAAGAUGGCCCCAUGGGUAGAGGUGCCCACCAGCAAGCCUGACAACCUGAGUGAGUUCCAGGAGAACUGACUCAGUCACAUGUGACUUCUGUACUCAGUGUGAUGGCACGCACAACACGCCCACAUAGGCCAUAAAUAAUAAGGAAAUGUUCAAAAAGAAAGAGAAGGCAAGGUUAUUUUAAAUAGACAUUUGCCUAUGUUUACAACUCGUAAAGUAGACUGACGGUGGUAACACGUGCCUUUAAUUGCAGCACAUGGGAGGCAGAGGGAGGUGGAUCACUGAAUUCAAGGCCAGCCUUGAACAUAGAGAGUUCAAGACAGCAAGAGCUGUUACACAGAAACCCUGUCUCCAAAAAGAAAAGAAAAG
Molecule: long non-coding RNA, 1268 nt
Filed under: Mus musculus (house mouse)
Lineage: Eukaryota; Metazoa; Chordata; Mammalia; Rodentia; Muridae
Description: long non-coding RNA chrX:166177130-166178398
Source: RNAcentral